This 464-nucleotide ribosomal RNA is filed under the name Vreelandella stevensii. RNAcentral describes it as "partial 16S ribosomal RNA". It matches the Rfam family "Bacterial small subunit ribosomal RNA", at positions 338 to 795 of the family's 1533-position model. The record is from RNAcentral. Lineage: Bacteria; Pseudomonadati; Pseudomonadota; Gammaproteobacteria; Oceanospirillales; Halomonadaceae.
CCUACGGGAGGCUGCAGUGGGGAAUAUUGGACAAUGGGGGCAACCCUGAUCCAGCCAUGCCGCGUGUGUGAAGAAGGCCCUCGGGUUGUAAAGCACUUUCAGUGAGGAAGAACGCCUGGUGGUUAAUACCCAUCAGGAAAGACAUCACUCACAGAAGAAGCACCGGCUAACUCCGUGCCAGCAGCCGCGGUAAUACGGAGGGUGCGAGCGUUAAUCGGAAUUACUGGGCGUAAAGCGCGCGUAGGUGGCUUGAUAAGCCGGUUGUGAAAGCCCCGGGCUCAACCUGGGAACGGCAUCCGGAACUGUCAAGCUAGAGUGCAGGAGAGGAAGGUAGAAUUCCCGGUGUAGCGGUGAAAUGCGUAGAGAUCGGGAGGAAUACCAGUGGCGAAGGCGGCCUUCUGGACUGACACUGACACUGAGGUGCGAAAGCGUGGGUAGCAAACAGGAUUAGAUACCCUGUAGUC